Small nucleolar RNA from Musca vetustissima, 118 nucleotides. RefSeq annotates it as small nucleolar RNA SNORA11. The transcript has a single exon. The record is from RefSeq and is a predicted model, not a curated record. NCBI's taxonomy places the organism in Eukaryota, Metazoa, Arthropoda, Insecta, Diptera, Muscidae.
AAGGUCUUCUAUGUAUAGAAGACCAAUAGAAGGUCUUCUAUGUAUAGAAGGCCUAUAGAAGGUCUUUUAUGUAUAGAAGACCUAUAGAAGGUCUUCUAUGUAUAGAAGACCUAUAGAA